Molecule: long non-coding RNA, 1534 nt
Organism: Mercenaria mercenaria
Lineage: Eukaryota; Metazoa; Mollusca; Bivalvia; Venerida; Veneridae
Exons: 4
Source: RefSeq, a predicted model, not a curated record
GUAUGCACCUUACUUCUAUCAUUGGCAACCUUUUUGAGUUCAACGAUCCAUGAGAACCAUAACAAUCAAACAAUAAUGGUUUCGUUUAAAUUAUAGUCGAUAUCAUAAACAAAUUAUGAACACAAAUGAGAUUGCAUUGAAAGGCUAUAAUUUUUUUGUUUGGGGUUCAGCAGUUACUGGAAAAUCCUACUUGGAAAAGAAAUUCAAAAGAAAAACUGGAAUAUGAGGGUGAACAUUGUGUAGUUUACAUGCUUUACAAGUAUUGUAUGUCAAGUAUAUAAAGAUGGAUGUACAAUUUAUAAAUUCACUGGGAUUUAAGAUGGUAGAUAUGGACCUUCAGAAAUACUCGAUGUGCUUAUGAAUAAUAAGAAGUAUGUUGAUGUUGUUCAAAAGAUUAAAAUAUGUGAAGUUUUGAUUGUUGAUGAAUAAACAUUUAACUCUAUCAACAAAGAAGACUGAAAUUGCCUGACAAACGUUUUGGAGGCAUACAUGUUAUAUUUGUGACAAACAUUUGGAGUCAUACAAGUUAUAUUUGUGACAAACUUUUUGGAGGCAUACAAGUUAUAUUUGUAGGUGACUUUUUCCAAUUACCACGAAAGAGUGAUGGUUAAGGGGACACACGUAGUUCUUCUGACAAACUAAAGCGAAAUACUUGUAAACGGAGCACAAGUAUUGUAACCAACUUAGAUCAUUAUGGCCCCAUACUUCAAUUUUCGCUGCCGAAUCUUACACAUCGGGUGGAAAAGAUGAAAUUUAUAGGUAAUAAAUGAAGUCCUCAAGUCUAUAUGAAGUUAUAGCAGUAAGAGAACAGUAUUCCCUAACAUUAGCCUUUGAAAUGCAUGAAAUUCUGAUCCUGUGUAGUGAUAGAAUGCCGGGUCAUUUGAAGGCUGGUCAGUAUGGUGCUGCACUGUCAGGGGACACUUCCUCAGCAGGACUGAGAAUAGUUAAAUUUCCAAGAACGUUAUAUCACACCACCAAGUAAAAGAGUUCAUGACUGAUCUACCAGCAUCACAGCCCUUAACAGAGUAUACAUGUUGUCGAGAAAGACAAUGAUUAUCACCAACAGAACAGGAUUCUUUAAUUGAACUUUGAGCCUGAUAAAAUAGAUUCCACAACAGAGAUUUCAGACGAUGCUAACCUUGAUGAUGAUUUCAGUGAUAUCAUAGCACCCAUAGAUAAUGAAGUGGAUGAAUGCAAAGGAAUUGAAAUUCAAGCAGAGUCCAGUUUGGACCUUGAGAAAACAAAAUCUGGAGAAGUAACAGAAUUUCAUAAGAACUAUAAUAGUACUAUUUCAAACAUUGAAGAUGAGAAACAUAAGCUUCUGGUAAAAAAAAAAAUCUUAAGACAAUUUCAAAACUUGAAUAUGUGGCCUUGAAAGAGUUGUAAUGAACUCUUCUUAUUUACGUACCUCAUCAAAACACAAUGAUUAGGGGCCAGCACAUUCUUAUUUUUUCCAGGAAGCAGACUAUAAAGUGACGCAAUACGCUUCAAACUUUCUUCACUGUCGUGUUAAAUUAAAUUAGUAUAAACAAAA